Molecule: ribosomal RNA, 1525 nt
Filed under: Parabacteroides distasonis
Lineage: Bacteria; Pseudomonadati; Bacteroidota; Bacteroidia; Bacteroidales; Tannerellaceae
Also listed under: 1 other name
Description: bacterial SSU rRNA
Rfam family: Bacterial small subunit ribosomal RNA
Source: RNAcentral
ACAACGAAGAGUUUGAUCCUGGCUCAGGAUGAACGCUAGCGACAGGCUUAACACAUGCAAGUCGAGGGGCAGCACAGGUAGCAAUACCGGGUGGCGACCGGCGCACGGGUGAGUAACGCGUAUGCAACUUACCUAUCAGAGGGGGAUAACCCGGCGAAAGUCGGACUAAUACCGCAUGAAGCAGGGGCCCCGCAUGGGGAUAUUUGCUAAAGAUUCAUCGCUGAUAGAUAGGCAUGCGUUCCAUUAGGCAGUUGGCGGGGUAACGGCCCACCAAACCGACGAUGGAUAGGGGUUCUGAGAGGAAGGUCCCCCACAUUGGUACUGAGACACGGACCAAACUCCUACGGGAGGCAGCAGUGAGGAAUAUUGGUCAAUGGCCGAGAGGCUGAACCAGCCAAGUCGCGUGAGGGAUGAAGGUUCUAUGGAUCGUAAACCUCUUUUAUAAGGGAAUAAAGUGCGGGACGUGUCCCGUUUUGUAUGUACCUUAUGAAUAAGGAUCGGCUAACUCCGUGCCAGCAGCCGCGGUAAUACGGAGGAUCCGAGCGUUAUCCGGAUUUAUUGGGUUUAAAGGGUGCGUAGGCGGCCUUUUAAGUCAGCGGUGAAAGUCUGUGGCUCAACCAUAGAAUUGCCGUUGAAACUGGGGGGCUUGAGUAUGUUUGAGGCAGGCGGAAUGCGUGGUGUAGCGGUGAAAUGCAUAGAUAUCACGCAGAACCCCGAUUGCGAAGGCAGCCUGCCAAGCCAUGACUGACGCUGAUGCACGAAAGCGUGGGGAUCAAACAGGAUUAGAUACCCUGGUAGUCCACGCAGUAAACGAUGAUCACUAGCUGUUUGCGAUACACUGUAAGCGGCACAGCGAAAGCGUUAAGUGAUCCACCUGGGGAGUACGCCGGCAACGGUGAAACUCAAAGGAAUUGACGGGGGCCCGCACAAGCGGAGGAACAUGUGGUUUAAUUCGAUGAUACGCGAGGAACCUUACCCGGGUUUGAACGCAUUCGGACCGAGGUGGAAACACCUUUUCUAGCAAUAGCCGUUUGCGAGGUGCUGCAUGGUUGUCGUCAGCUCGUGCCGUGAGGUGUCGGCUUAAGUGCCAUAACGAGCGCAACCCUUGCCACUAGUUACUAACAGGUAAAGCUGAGGACUCUGGUGGGACUGCCAGCGUAAGCUGCGAGGAAGGCGGGGAUGACGUCAAAUCAGCACGGCCCUUACAUCCGGGGCGACACACGUGUUACAAUGGCGUGGACAAAGGGAGGCCACCUGGUGACAGGGAGCGAAUCCCCAAACCACGUCUCAGUUCGGAUCGGAGUCUGCAACCCGACUCCGUGAAGCUGGAUUCGCUAGUAAUCGCGCAUCAGCCAUGGCGCGGUGAAUACGUUCCCGGGCCUUGUACACACCGCCCGUCAAGCCAUGGGAGCCGGGGGUACCUGAAGUCCGUAACCGAAAGGAUCGGCCUAGGGUAAAACUGGUGACUGGGGCUAAGUCGUAACAAGGUAGCCGUACCGGAAGGUGCGGCUGGAACACCUCCUUU